RNAcentral lists this ribosomal RNA (330 nucleotides) under Triticum aestivum (bread wheat). RNAcentral describes it as "partial small subunit ribosomal RNA". The record is from RNAcentral. Lineage: Eukaryota; Viridiplantae; Streptophyta; Magnoliopsida; Poales; Poaceae.
AUGGCCUUUACCCGAGCUAACGGGGUGGCCCGACUGCUGGUGAGUGUUCUGGAUAUUGAGUUCGUGCCUGAUGUGGUUAAGUGGACAUAUAGGGGCCAGAUAUUCAACCUCGAGAUUGAGUUUGAGGAUACCGAUCUUUUCGCCGAGGCUCUCGCUGGGACUGAUGUAGACAUGCACAAGGGAGAUGAUAGUUCGGGUGCUAAGGAGGCGCCAGUGGAUGAUGUUGGACGAGAGUUGUCCAACGGUUGGGGGUCCGUUUCUCAGACGCCCGGGGACGGGACGGCACCAUCCUCUUCGGUGCCAAUGAACACUGAGAUUUGGGUUGUUUGA